CCUACGGGAGGCUGCAGUGGGGAAUAUUGGACAAUGGGGGCAACCCUGAUCCAGCCAUGCCGCGUGUGUGAAGAAGGCCCUCGGGUUGUAAAGCACUUUCAGUGAGGAAGAACGCCUGGUGGUUAAUACCCAUCAGGAAAGACAUCACUCACAGAAGAAGCACCGGCUAACUCCGUGCCAGCAGCCGCGGUAAUACGGAGGGUGCGAGCGUUAAUCGGAAUUACUGGGCGUAAAGCGCGCGUAGGUGGCUUGAUAAGCCGGUUGUGAAAGCCCCGGGCUCAAUCUGGGAACGGCAUCCGGAACUGUCAAGCUAGAGUGCAGGAGAGGAAGGUAGAAUUCCCGGUGUAGCGGUGAAAUGCGUAGAGAUCGGGAGGAAUACCAGUGGCGAAGGCGGCCUUCUGGACUGACACUGACACUGAGGUGCGAAAGCGUGGGUAGCAAACAGGAUUAGAUACCCGUGUAGUC
This 465-nucleotide ribosomal RNA is filed under the name Vreelandella stevensii. RNAcentral's name for it is "partial 16S ribosomal RNA". It matches the Rfam family "Bacterial small subunit ribosomal RNA", at positions 338 to 795 of the family's 1533-position model. The record is from RNAcentral. Lineage: Bacteria; Pseudomonadati; Pseudomonadota; Gammaproteobacteria; Oceanospirillales; Halomonadaceae.